This is a long non-coding RNA of Equus caballus (horse), 2812 nucleotides long. NCBI's taxonomy places the organism in Eukaryota, Metazoa, Chordata, Mammalia, Perissodactyla, Equidae. The record is from Ensembl.
CAGCUGUGUCUCUCAUCGACCCACCCGGCCCCGGAACCGGAGGGUCUGGGCACCUUCUCUUAGACGCCGUGACCAACGUCGUGCCCACGGGCACACCUUGGCUGCUGCCACCCGCCAAGAGUGCUGCCGGGCUGCUCCAAGGCCUGUCCAAGCCCUAGAGGCUCCCCAAGCCGCAGAGGAGACGACGGCGCUUUCAGGAAAGCCGGUCCCUCGCUGCGGGUUCCUUAGCACAAAGUGGCCUUGUGCUAAAGGUCACAGGUUUCUCUGCGGCUUCACUGGAGCUUUCAAAGAAACAGCUAUGGUUCACGCUUUCAAAAGGGUGUCGCUGCAGGGGUCUGUGGUCUGUGGUCCAGAUGGACACCGACUGACUGAACCGGCGCCUCGCGAUGGGCAUGGAAGCCGCUUCUGCCCCCAAGCCCAUCAGAGGGCCGUGGUCAACCCCAUCCCCCGCCCCGUUUCCUCAACAGCCCCUCCAAAUCUCCAUCGCCUGCCUCAAGCGGGAUCGUCCUCAUACCGUUCGGAAGAGGGAUUCAGCUUGGCAGUUCCAGGGUCCUGGCUCCACGUGGGGUGCCCUGGGAACCAUCUGCUCAGCCUCCCCCAAAGAUCUCGUUCCCUCAGUUUGCCAGCUGCUUUCUCUUCGGCCCGUCUCUUUCCUUAAGCCGCUGAGCACACCCAAGUCUCUCCCAGCAUCCACACCUCUCCUUUCUGCUCCUCCACCACCGCCUUCUCUCUCUACCUUUCACGGCUAAGCUGCUGGCAAAAGACCUCGACUUCUCGUCAGCCAUCCAGUCAUCGCCUCGUCUCUCACCGGCUCCUCGAAAGACUCCCCAAAUCUCGUCGCCGUCACGUCCUAGCAGGAGGCCAGGGAACGCCCUUCGGUUCCUUCGCCUUCCUAAACUCUCUGUGGUGUCUGAGGAAUGCUGCCCACGUCUACAGUCUCUGAAAGUUCUCUCCACCCUCUUUCUCUGGGGGAUGGCCCCCUCCCCAGGUGCCCUUCCUAACCUCAGACCCUUCUGUCUCACUUUCCUCUGCAGCUUCUCCUCCCGACCACUUCUCAAAGGGUUCUGUUCUCGAAGGCAGGGUCUUCAGGGAACAGGAACCCCUCGGGUCUCAGAGCAAGCUCAUGUGCUCCUACGAUUCGACUCGCCCCCAGAUGCCCAGGGCUUCUGAGUGCGUACGACUGACAUCACCCUGCCCCUGACUCCACGCUGCUUUCUCUAACUGUCUGCUGGACGCACCUCUCAGGAUGUCCAAAGGCUUCUCAAAACUGACACGUCCAAAGGGGAGCCCGGUAUCCUCCAACAAAACCCUCCCCCUCCUCUUACCUUCCUUUCAUCACCUCAGAAAACCUCUGCCCAUCUCAUCACCCGGGAGCGAGAGGCCUCAAGGCCACGCUUGAGCUCUCUGUCUCACCCACUUCGCAGCCUCCCGACUCCCAAAGGGAGCCAAGCACCUUAACUUCUUUGCCGUCCCCACUGCUCUGCCGCAUGCCUUCCUGUCUCUUGCACGCAACCAGCCCAGUAGACUCCUUACUGAUCUUGCCGGCUGGCCUCCUGGCACACUGCCCCCCCUCCCCACUUGAAUCCAUCCUCCACACUGUUGGGAGGGUGACCCAAGAGGAAAACCCUGCCGUUACUGACACCACGGUGCCCAGCCCCCACAGGGGUGGACGUGGGCAAGAAAGUAACCAAAGUUUCUGAGGUUGUUUUGCAGAACAACAGGAAGACGGCAGAGCAGAGAGCAGCUUGAUGGCAGCCCCCUGGCCCCCGCCUGACUGGACAUCGUGCAGAGGCUUGGACCAGCUGAAAUGACCCAUCGCCAACUUUCUGCGUCACAGGCAGAGAUCCUUGGCAUGCACCACGUCGAACCCUACUGAGUUCGCUCUUGUGACCCGUGAAGAAAUGGGAUCCACCGUUGCACCUGAGCAGAGGACUCUUCAAGCUUCACCUGCAGCGCUCUCCUGAUCCUACCCCUUCCCUCUGGAGGCAAUAUAGUCCUUGUCUACAAAUAUUACUUAAGGCCAUUUAUGCUGUGACCUACAAAUUAGCCCAGCUUCAGCGGGGACCCCCUCCAGCAAAAGACUCUAGAAGCUGUCCUAAUUAAAAUCAACAAGCCAUCCCACUAGAGCCCUCAGAGACUCCUCUGGUGAAGAGGCUUCGGCAACCUCCUCUCAUGCUUCCUGGAAAACCCAGAACGUGGAACAACAGGAAGAUGGCAGAGCAGAGAGCAGCUUGAUGGCAGCCCCCCGGCCCCCCCCCGAGCGGACAUUGUGCAGACACUUGGACCAGCUGAAAUGACAGAUCGCCAACUUUCCACGUCACAGACAAAGAUCCACGGCAUGCAACACGUCGAACCCCACUGACUUCACACUUGUGACCCACGAAGAAACACAAACGACAGUCACACCUGAGCAGAGGACACUUCAAGCUUCACCUGCAGCGCUCUCCUGGUCCCCACCCCUACCCGAAACCGAAACCGCAGCUAAAAACCCCAGUAUUUUUCCUUUGAGUUUUGCAUAGCUACUCUCACCUCCUUGUCUGGCUGCCUCUUGAUCAUAAACCUCUUUCCUUGCUAUAAUCCUAACGUUUCACUGAUUGGCUUUGCUGCAAAAUUGGGUAAACAAACCUGAGUUUGUGUUUGGUUUCAUCGCUUCCCUGCUUGAAAUAAUUCAGGGUCACCCAUUUCCUGGAAGCUGAACUUUAGCUGAAUCUCCAAGACCUCGCCUCUGCAUCUUUCCUCCCUGCUCCUCACCCACAUACAGGCCACCCUCCUGCCACGUGCGAUUUUCUGCAAACCCCGAACAGGUUCUGAC